GCCAGUGUGGUCUAAUAGUUUGAGCGUUGGAAUACAACUCUGGAGACCAGGGUUCGAUUCCCAGCUUGGCCA
Molecule: non-coding RNA, 72 nt
Organism: Phrynosoma platyrhinos (Desert horned lizard)
Lineage: Eukaryota; Metazoa; Chordata; Lepidosauria; Squamata; Phrynosomatidae
Source: the annotation of a GenBank genome assembly